RNAcentral lists this long non-coding RNA (338 nucleotides) under Prunus persica (peach). RNAcentral describes it as "long non-coding RNA (PPER_LNC002531)". Lineage: Eukaryota; Viridiplantae; Streptophyta; Magnoliopsida; Rosales; Rosaceae. The record is from RNAcentral.
UGGAAACCAAUUAUUAAUUGUUAGUGGUAUUAUUUUGGAGGAAGGGAGUGCUGGAGAUGCAAGGAAGAGUUGAGAACAGACGUGAGGCCACUUACACGGACACUAAGGUUUUUUAAUUUUUUUCUUUCAGUUUUUUUUAACUAUAUUUUUUUCAAAGGAUUAUUGAAAAGAGAAUAAAUUCAAAAUAUAAUACACAAGACAACAUUCAUUAAUUAAUAGGACACAUCAGUUGCCACAUACGGUGGUCAGCUAAGGUGGUCAAUGUUGUGUGUCUAAAUAACAUUACUAAAAAAAAUGGUAUUUCACUCAUUUAUUUCUUUUUUGAAGAUGAAUAUGGG